RNAcentral lists this ribosomal RNA (459 nucleotides) under uncultured bacterium. RNAcentral's name for it is "partial 16S ribosomal RNA". It matches the Rfam family "Bacterial small subunit ribosomal RNA", at positions 338 to 795 of the family's 1533-position model. The record is from RNAcentral.
CCUACGGGAGGCUGCAGUGAGGAAUAUUGGUCAAUGGUCGGGAGACUGAACCAGCCAAGCCGCGUGAGGGAUGAAGGUACAGAGUAUCGUAAACCUCUUUUGUCAGGGAACAAAGGCGGGGACGUGUCCCCGGAUGAGUGUACCUGAAGAAAAAGCAUCGGCUAACUCCGUGCCAGCAGCCGCGGUAAUACGGAGGAUGCGAGCGUUGUCCGGAUUUGUUGGGUUUAAAGGGUGCGCAGGCGGUCUGUUAAGACAGCGGUCAAAGCCCGGGGCUCAACCCCGGCCCGCCGUUGAAACUGGCAGUCUCGAGUUGGAGAGAAGUAUGCGGAAUGCGCGGUGUAGCGGUGAAAUGCAUAGAUAGCGCGCAGAACUCCGAUUGCGAAGGCAGCAUGCCGGCUCCACACUGACGCUGAGGCACGAAAGCGUGGGUAUCGAACAGGAUUAGAUACCCUAGUAGUC